AUUGAACGCUGGCGGCAUGCCUUACACAUGCAAGUCGAACGGCAGCACGGGAGCAAUCCUGGUGGCGAGUGGCGAACGGGUGAGUAAUAUAUCGGAACGUGCCCAGUCGUGGGGGAUAACGUAGCGAAAGCUACGCUAAUACCGCAUACGAUCUAUGGAUGAAAGCGGGGGAUCGCAAGACCUCGCGCGAUUGGAGCGGCCGAUAUCAGAUUAGGUAGUUGGUGAGGUAAAGGCUCACCAAGCCGACGAUCUGUAGCUGGUCUGAGAGGACGACCAGCCACACUGGGACUGAGACACGGCCCAGACUCCUACGGGAGGCAGCAGUGGGGGAAUAUUGGACAAUGGGCGAAAGCCUGAUCCAGCAAUGCCGCGUGAGUGAUGAAGGCCUUAGGGUUGUAAAGCUCUUUUACCCGGGAUGAUAAUGACAGUACCGGGAGAAUAAGCUCCGGCUAACUCCGUGCCAGCAGCCGCGGUAAAG
This 478-nucleotide ribosomal RNA is filed under the name uncultured bacterium. RNAcentral describes it as "bacterial SSU rRNA". It matches the Rfam family "Bacterial small subunit ribosomal RNA", at positions 30 to 525 of the family's 1533-position model. The record is from RNAcentral.